Small nucleolar RNA from Panicum virgatum (switchgrass), 107 nucleotides. NCBI's taxonomy places the organism in Eukaryota, Viridiplantae, Streptophyta, Magnoliopsida, Poales, Poaceae. The record is from RefSeq and is a predicted model, not a curated record.
AUGCCGUGGUGGGGGCAUGCUGCAAUGUAUUCUUGGAAUCUCUCCCAAGCUUCCAGAAUAGCUUCAUUUGGAUGCUAUUGAAAUCCAGAGAUUUUGCUCCGGAGGGC